AUUGAACGCUGGCGGCAGGCUUAACACAUGCAAGUCGAGCGGGGGAAGGUAGCUUGCUACCGGACCUAGCGGCGGACGGGUGAGUAAUGCUUAGGAAUCUGCCUAUUAGUGGGGGACAACAUCUCGAAAGGGAUGCUAAUACCGCAUACGUCCUACGGGAGAAAGCGGGGGAGCUUCGGACCUUGUGCUAAUAGAUGAGCCUAAGUCGGAUUAGCUAGUUGGUGGGGUAAAGGCCUACCAAGGCGACGAUCUGUAGCGGGUCUGAGAGGAUGAUCCGCCACACUGGGACUGAGACACGGCCCAGACUCCUACGGGAGGCAGCAGUGGGGAAUAUUGGACAAUGGGGGGAACCCUGAUCCAGCCAUGCCGCGUGUGUGAAGAAGGCCUUAUGGUUGUAAAGCACUUUAAGCGAGGAGGAGGCUACUCUAGUUAAUACCUAGGGAUAGUGGACGUUACUCGCAGAAUAAGCACCGGCUAACACUGUGCCAGCCGCCGCCGUAA
This 501-nucleotide ribosomal RNA is filed under the name uncultured bacterium. RNAcentral's name for it is "partial 16S ribosomal RNA". It matches the Rfam family "Bacterial small subunit ribosomal RNA", at positions 30 to 523 of the family's 1533-position model. The record is from RNAcentral.